UAGGGAAUCUUCCACAAUGGACGCAAGUCUGAUGGAGCAACGCCGCGUGAGUGAAGAAGGUCUUCGGAUCGUAAAGCUCUGUUGUAAGAGAAGGACGUGUGUGAGAGUGGAAAGUUCACACAGUGACGGUAACUUACCAGAAAGGGACGGCUAACUACGUGCCAG
RNAcentral lists this ribosomal RNA (165 nucleotides) under uncultured bacterium. RNAcentral describes it as "partial 16S rRNA". It matches the Rfam family "Bacterial small subunit ribosomal RNA", at positions 355 to 511 of the family's 1533-position model. The record is from RNAcentral.